GCUCAGUUGGUUGAGUGUCUGACUCUUGAUUUCAGCUCAGGUCAUGAUCCAGGGUUGUGGGAUCAAGCCCCACAUUGAGCU
This 81-nucleotide transfer RNA is filed under the name Felis catus (domestic cat). It matches the Rfam family "tRNA". Rfam says of the family: Transfer RNA (tRNA) molecules are approximately 80 nucleotides in length. Their secondary structure includes four short double-helical elements and three loops (D, anti-codon, and T loops). Lineage: Eukaryota; Metazoa; Chordata; Mammalia; Carnivora; Felidae. RNAcentral also lists the same sequence under 4 other names. The record is from Rfam by way of RNAcentral.